GAGGCUUUAGCUUAAUUAAAGUGUCUGAGUUGCAUUCAGGUGAUGUAGUGUAGUAAUAUUACAGGCCUU
RNAcentral lists this transfer RNA (69 nucleotides) under Hemidactylus persicus. Its description in RNAcentral is "tRNA-Ala". Lineage: Eukaryota; Metazoa; Chordata; Lepidosauria; Squamata; Gekkonidae. The record is from RNAcentral.